RNAcentral lists this ribosomal RNA (253 nucleotides) under uncultured bacterium. RNAcentral describes it as "partial 16S ribosomal RNA". It matches the Rfam family "Bacterial small subunit ribosomal RNA", at positions 524 to 776 of the family's 1533-position model. The record is from RNAcentral.
UACGGAGGGUGCAAGCGUUAUCCGGAUUCACUGGGUUUAAAGGGUGCGUAGGAGGGUCUGUAAGUCAGCGGUGAAAUCUCCGAGCUUAACUCGGAAACUGCCAUUGAUACUAUAGAUCUUGAAUACCGUGGAGGUGAGCGGAAUAUGUCAUGUAGCGGUGAAAUGCUUAGAUAUGCCAUAGAACACCAAUUGCGAAGGCAGCUCACUACACGCAUAUUGACUCUGAGGCACGAAAGCGUGGGGAUCAAACAGG